GGGGAAUCUUGCGCAAUGGGCGAAAGCCUGACGCAGCAACGCCGCGUGCGGGAUGAAGGCCUUCGGGUUGUAAACCGCUUUCAGUGGGGACGAACCAAGACGGUACCCACAGAAGAAGCCCCGGCCAACUACGUGCCAGCAGCCGCGGUAACACGUAGGGGGCAAGCGUUGUCCGGAUUUAUUGGGCGUAAAGAGCUCGUAGGUGGCUCAGUAAGUCGGGUGUGAAACCUCCAGGCUCAACCUGGAGACGCCACCCGAUACUGCUGUGGCUAGAGUCCAGUAGGGGAGCGUGGAAUUCCUGGUGUAGCGGUGAAAUGCGCAGAUAUCAGGAGGAACACCAGUGGCGAAGGCGGCGCUCUGGGCUGGAACUGACACUGAGGAGCGAAAGCGUGGGGAGCAAAC
Molecule: ribosomal RNA, 402 nt
Filed under: uncultured bacterium
Lineage: Bacteria
Description: bacterial SSU rRNA
Rfam family: Bacterial small subunit ribosomal RNA
Source: RNAcentral